This 254-nucleotide ribosomal RNA is filed under the name uncultured bacterium. RNAcentral's name for it is "partial 16S ribosomal RNA". It matches the Rfam family "Bacterial small subunit ribosomal RNA", at positions 524 to 776 of the family's 1533-position model. The record is from RNAcentral.
UACGUAGGGUGCGAGCGUUGUCCGGAAUUAUUGGGCGUAAAGAGCUUGUAGGCGGUCUGUCGCGUCUGCUGUGAAAAUCCGGGGCUCAACCCCGGACUUGCAGUGGGUACGGGCAGACUAGAGUGUGGUAGGGGAGACUGGAAUUCCUGGUGUAGCGGUGAAAUGCGCAGAUAUCAGGAGGAACACCGAUGGCGAAGGCAGGUCUCUGGGCCGACUACUGACGCUGAGAAGCGAAAGCAUGGGGAGCGAACAGG